AACAGGAUUAGAUACCCUGGUAGUCCAUGCCGUAAACGAUGAGUGCUAGGUGUUGGAGGGUUUCCGCCCUUCAGUGCCGGAGCUAACGCAUUAAGCACUCCGCCUGGGGAGUACGACCGCAAGGUUGAAACUCAAAGGAAUUGACGGGGGCCCGCACAAGCGGUGGAGCAUGUGGUUUAAUUCGAAGCUACGCGAAGAACCUUACCAGGUCUUGACAUCUUGCGCCAACCCUAGAGAUAGGGCGUUUCCUUCGGGAACGCAAUGACAGGUGGUGCAUGGUCGUCGUCAGCUCGUGUCGUGAGAUGUUGGGUUAAGUCCCGCAACGAGCGCAACCCUUGUUACUAGUUGCCAGCAUUAAGUUGGGCACUCUAGUGAGACUGCCGGUGACAAACCGGAGGAAGGUGGGGACGACGUCAGAUCAUCAUGCCCCUUAUGACCUGGGCUACACACGUGCUACAAUGGACGGUACAAUGAGUCGCGAACUCGCGAGGGCAAGCAAAUCUCUUAAAACCGUUCUCAGUUCGGACUGUAGGCUGCAACUCGCCUGCACGAAGUCGGAAUCGCUAGUAAUCGCGGAUCAGCAUGCCGCGGUGAAUACGUUCCCGGGCCUUGUACACACCGCCCGUCACACCAUGAGAGUUUGUAACACCCAAAGUCGGUGGGGUAACCUUUUAGGAGCCAGCCGCCUAAGGUGGGACAGAUGAUUAGGGUGAAGUCGUAACAAGGUAACC
RNAcentral lists this ribosomal RNA (731 nucleotides) under uncultured bacterium. RNAcentral's name for it is "bacterial SSU rRNA". It matches the Rfam family "Bacterial small subunit ribosomal RNA", at positions 771 to 1501 of the family's 1533-position model. The record is from RNAcentral.